GAUGAACGCUGGCGGCGUGCUUAACACAUGCAAGUCGAACGAUGAAGCCCAGCUUGCUGGGUGGAUUAGUGGCGAACGGGUGAGUAACACGUGAGUAACCUGCCCUUAACUCUGUGAUAAGCCUGGGAAACUGGGUCUAAUACCGGAUAGAAGCGUCCACCGCGUGUUGGGUGUUGUAGAAAUUUAUCGGUUUUGGAUGGACUCGCGGCCUAUCAGCUUGUUGGUGAGGUAAUGGCUCACCAAGGCGACGACGGGUAGCCGGCCUGAGAGGGUGACCGGCCACACUGGGACUGAGAAACGGCCCAGACUCCUACGGGAGGCAGCAGUGGGGAAUAUUGCACGAUGGGCGCAAGCCUGAUGCAGCGACGCCGCGUGCGGGAUGACGGCCUUCGGGUUGUAAACCUCUUUCAGUAGGGAAGAAGCGAAAGUGACGGUACCUGCAGAAGAAGCACCGGCUAACUACGUG
This 466-nucleotide ribosomal RNA is filed under the name uncultured bacterium. RNAcentral describes it as "partial 16S ribosomal RNA". It matches the Rfam family "Bacterial small subunit ribosomal RNA", at positions 28 to 507 of the family's 1533-position model. The record is from RNAcentral.